Cottoperca gobio is the source of this 3432-nucleotide long non-coding RNA. Ensembl annotates it as fibrous sheath CABYR-binding protein-like. NCBI's taxonomy places the organism in Eukaryota, Metazoa, Chordata, Actinopteri, Perciformes, Bovichtidae. The record is from Ensembl.
AGUAGAUACUGUAAUAGGUAGCAUCUAGUUAAGCUGUGUUCUGUUGCAGACACUUUCUUGGCGCUUAACGCUAUGAUUAAGGAUUAUUUGAGACCGCUCAAAGCUCUGUUUACAUCUCGCUCCAUUCAUUCAGAAAGUAUUUCAAAAGCCUGUUGCUUCAGCUUUCUAAUUAUAUGAGCUACACAGUUAUAAUUUAAAGAGCCUGUCUUGUCUUGAUAAAUAAGUCGACAAUCUAUUUAUUGGUGUUUCCAAGUGUGUGUUUGCGUGUAUGAGUGUGUGUUUGCGUGUAUGAGUGUGUGUGUGUGUGUGUGUGUGUGUGUGCUGAUAUUACAGGGUUUGCAAACAGGAGGACUGGCUGUACACCAAGAGGGGAGCGCGUCCUACACGGGGCUGGACCACGAGGGCUGAAACCACCUUACUGCCCCAAUCCGGACUCCCUCCUCCCAACCCAACCUGCCCCUUGCUCCUCAACCCGCCCAGUCCACUGCCAGUACCAGCUCCCCUCCUCCACUCACAGCUCAGUCACUCACCCACUCUCUUUUCUCUCUCCUGCUGUGUGCCAGUACCUCUCUCCCUCUCCACUUCCUCAAAGUGGCCACAGCUCCUCUCUUUUCUCUUGUCCUCUUUACAUCCCUUCACCACUUUCUUUCAUCCUCCAGCUGUGAGAGCAACCCGGCUCUGCCUGUUCGUCUUCACCUCUCCAAGCUAAACAGAUCUCAAGCCGCUGCUUCCCCCUGAAGACUUUAUUUUCAUUCUUGAUCCUUUUUCUUUGUGGCUCUUUCACCCUUCCCCUCCGGAGAGGCUGGUCGGUGUGUCUGUUGUGUGUGCAGCAGCGCGUGCGAGGGCUCUGGUGUUGUGCUCUUUGCCCUGAGGGAGUCCCUAAAGGUUGUGACUAGAGGAGAAAAGUUUUUCACCAUGAUGAAUGUUCAACUGCUGCUCCUGUUGGCCCUGGCUGGCCCUUUCUGUGCCUUCACACAUGCAAGCCCCACAGAGAUCCCUUCAGACCUCGAUGUUAGUGUAGGAGUUACAGAGGCUCCAAAAGAGGACCUUACUAUUAUCACCGGUCCUCCUGCAACCGAACCAGCGGCGGUCCCUGCAGAAGUUGUAACGGUAACAGUUGCUAAUGAAGAAGUCGUAACAGAAGAAGCAACAGUGGUCACAGAGUCGGCGCCUCCUGCCGUUACAGUCAACAUUGAAGAGGCCGUCGUUGACACAGAAGCCCCCACUGUUGCUACUCAAGCACCAGAAGCCCUCAUCACUGACCCCCCUGUAGUGGAAACCGGAGCCCCCACUUCUGAGGUCGACGUCCAACCGACGGAAGCCGCCAAGGCAGAGACGGGCGAAGAGGUGGUCGUUGAAGAUGACACAGAUGAGGGCCUGAGUUCUGGCCAGGUAGUCGGCAUCGUGAUUGGCGCUCUGUUGGUAGUGGUCAUCGUCAUCGCCGUGGUGAUUGCUGCGGUGAGGAGGAUGGGAAUAUACUCCCCUUGAAGAAAAAGUCGGCCAAGCAGCAGGAGCACCCGAAGUUCUGGAAAUUCUGAACUACUGAACUGUGACGUCAUUCGCGAUCAUUAAAACAAGCACGAUACCAGAACUAAACUAAUGUAACCAGGACUCUGGACUGUUGUCAAAAAAGAGGGGGAGGGAGACUUGUGUGUGUUAAUGUAUGUACUUUAUGUAUGUGAGACAAAAACAUCCUCACCUCCCCCCGCUACCUCCUUGAUCCCCCCCCCCCUCCCCAGGAGCCGCUGAUAUAAAAUGCUCUGUCCCCCCCCUACUCCCUCGGAGAGAACAAAACGAGGUGACAUCAGGAUGUCACACAGAAUUUCAGGCCUUUUUGCAAAUGUAUUUUGUUAAGAGAAAAAAAGAGUAGGAAAGGUAGGGGGGGUAAUCUGACACUUAGGGAAACAAUCUCUCUCCUUUAAAGAGUGGCUGAUUUAGAUUUGCAUGGAAGUUUGAGAGGACAUAAAAAUGGAAAAUACUGACAAUACAAAAGAAAAUGAAAUGCACAUGGAAGGUGAGAGCAGGAGAGACUGCUAUAAAUUCCACAGGAUGUAUAUACAAUGCAAGGGGACUACAUAGUAUACAGCUAAUGACUUUCUCAUACAAUAUGUUGCAGUUGCAUAGGCUAGCGUUUGAUAUUAUGGAAGAAUACACAGUGCAUACAGCCUGAGGCGAUUGUUGUGGCUAACCCCUGAGCACCAGUUAAACACAUUAUCUCAUAUAGCCAGAAAACCCUGAUAUGUUGGCCAACUGUAUGAAGCAUCAUGUGCAGAAGUUGUUUUGACAUAACACACUCGUGAGCUCUUGGGGGCUAGCAGAAAAGAAAAGGCACCCUCAUUUAAAAGAGUAACGUGACAUUCUGCCCACUUUAACACUGACAUAUAAAAACCUAAUACAUAUCUGUGAAAUUUAGCAGAAGGGUUUGUGCCACUGUCUCUGGUAUUCUCUCUUAGGGGGAUUUUAACUUUUGAAGUGCAUUAUUAAUGUGAAUUACUUUUUAACUGCCACCCAUUCCAAAAAGAACAGCUUCUUCUGACUCGUUUCUUAUAAAGGCUUACACACAGCCAGGUUAUUAGACAUUUAGUGAUAGCAUUGUCUUGACAAUGUAUUCAUAGUACUUCUGUUAAUAGUUAGAUUACCAGAACAGCCAUCCGGUCUUUAAAUUGAGCUAACCCCAGAUUGCGUGCACAGGAUGACAUUUUAUAGUUGCACUUAUAGUUUUAGUGCACAGUGUUAGGCAGUAAUGCCCUGUUUUGUUAUUUUUGCAAGUGUGCUAAAUGGGUGUACAAAUAAUGAAGUCUCAGCUUCGCUCCGCUUGCUUUACAAACUCGUUUAAUAUGUGCACUGAAUGAGUGAUGUAAUGUUUAAUGAAUAGGCUUUUAGACACUGCAAAUGUUUGCAACGACAUGUCUUUGUUUCCUCUCCUCUGCUUUGCCACAUAUUAUCAGUUCUAGGUCUUUAAUUUGUGCCAUCUGAUUUUUUGAACCCUUUUAUUUAAUUGCAGUGUUUUUGUUCAUACUGUUUCAAUAAAAAACUGAAAACACUCUGAAAGCUCUCUUUUGUGUAUGGAAAUGUCUCGAUAGCACUUUCAAAUAUCCGUUUAUUGUCCUCGCCGUUUCCUAUCAGUUAGAUUACGUAGUGACUGAACACUGUAUUCAGUCUUGAGUCAGGCAAAAAUACUUGUGACGGUUAAAAUCUCAGACACUUAUUUUCUAUUUGCAAUUGCACUUCUCACACAUCAUUAACAAGCUUCCACACGGGCAACGGUCCACUCUGAUUGGCCCGUUUAAGUAAUGUUUCAAAUAAAAACAAAAACAACCCCUUUUCAGCAGGGAGACCAACAGCACCAAAUAUGGAGGAACAUAUGGCCUCGGACCGUUGAGGCGGUUGAGCCCUCUGACAGUUAGGUGUGUUUUUUAUGUCAUGUUGUGG